UUCCUUUCGGAUCUGUUCGCACUUCGCAGUCGGACUUUUGCCGCUUUGUCUAUGCUUUGCAGGCUGGCAGAGAUGCCAGAUGCGAACGUUUUAUGCAAAACUGUAAAUGGCAAUGUUGUACGUUACUUUCAAGAUGGCUGCUGGCAUUCGAUGAGAGUCGACAGCAACUGACAGUUCGCACAUUUCGCAGGUGAAAUGGAUCGUCCGGUUUGUAGAAUGGUUUCGAGAUUAGAACAGGCUUUGAUUUUGUUGCAGCCAGCUGAAUAGUGGUGUUAGCUGUUGCAUGCAGUCUGUGGUGCUGGUGUGAUGUCCAAUGGAACUGUUGCAUGCAGCGUGUAGUGCCGGUGUGAUGUCAAGGGGAGCUGCUGCAUGUAUUCUGUGGUGUUUACCUGAAAUGUAUUGGCUGUUGUGGACUGAAAAGCUGACUAGGUUGAAUAAAAUUAAAUUUAAAAAAAAAAUGGGUUUUAAAAAGGGGUUUAAUGUUUGCAGCAUCAUUAGUAUAAGGAAAAUGUUUGUUGUUUGAAAUUUGUUUUUGCAGUUGAACAGAUUUUCUGGUCUUGGGUACACUGUCUAAUAUAUCUAGCAUGUUAUAUCUUUUUUCUGCAUAAAUAGUACAAUUAUUUCAAACUAAUAUUAACAGUAUUGAAAUUCACAUUUGUCUGAUUGAAUUCGAUUUUGCGGCGAUUAUUGUAAGUAAUGAUAAAUAAAUUGAAUGUAUAUUAAA
This is a long non-coding RNA of Daphnia pulex (common water flea), 724 nucleotides long. RefSeq lists it as uncharacterized. The record is from RefSeq and is a predicted model, not a curated record. NCBI's taxonomy places the organism in Eukaryota, Metazoa, Arthropoda, Branchiopoda, Diplostraca, Daphniidae. The transcript has 3 exons.